RNAcentral lists this ribosomal RNA (560 nucleotides) under uncultured bacterium. RNAcentral's name for it is "bacterial SSU rRNA". It matches the Rfam family "Bacterial small subunit ribosomal RNA", at positions 338 to 915 of the family's 1533-position model. The record is from RNAcentral.
CCUACGGGAGGCAGCAGUGGGGAAUAUUGGACAAUGGGCGCAAGCCUGAUCCAGCAAUGCCGCGUGAGUGAUGAAGGCCUUAGGGUCGUAAAGCUCUUUUACCAGGGAUGAUAAUGACAGUACCUGGAGAAUAAGCUCCGGCUAACUCCGUGCCAGCAGCCGCGGUAAUACGGAGGGAGCUAGCGUUGUUCGGAAUUACUGGGCGUAAAGCGUACGUAGGCGGUUAUUCAAGUCAGAGGUGAAAGCCCGGGGCUCAACCCCGGAACGGCCUUUGAAACUAGGUAGCUAGAAUCUUGGAGAGGUCAGUGGAAUUCCGAGUGUAGAGGUGAAAUUCGUAGAUAUUCGGAAGAACACCAGUGGCGAAGGCGACUGACUGGACAAGUAUUGACGCUGAGGUACGAAAGCGUGGGGAGCAAACAGGAUUAGAUACCCUGGUAGUCCACGCCGUAAACGAUGAUAACUAGCUGUUCGGGCACUUGGUGCUUGAGCGGCGCAGCUAACGCAUUAAGUUAUCCGCCUGGGGAGUACGGUCGCAAGNUUAAAACUCAAAUGAAUUGAGG